Piliocolobus tephrosceles (Ugandan red Colobus) is the source of this 3756-nucleotide RNA transcript. It is a transcript of the gene named 40S ribosomal protein S27-like, with no coding region annotated. Lineage: Eukaryota; Metazoa; Chordata; Mammalia; Primates; Cercopithecidae. The record is from RefSeq and is a predicted model, not a curated record. The transcript has a single exon.
UCUCCUGACCUCGUGAUCCGCCCGUCUCGGCCUCCCAAAGUGCUGGGAUUACAGGCUUGAGCCACCACGCCCAGCUCUCAAUUUAUUUUUUUAUAUUUGGUCUUUAAAGGGUAAGCUUUGAUUAUCUGAAAAAGUAAAAUAUGAGGACUACCUCACUACCUGGGGCUGGAUAAGUGACGUGCCCCGUUAAGUCAUGGGCCUUGCUAAAUGGGGUGUCCUAAUGCACAAUACAGCACCAGGGUGGCCUGGAGGGACGAUAACCACCCCAGGAUUUUCUGUGCACUCUUUUACUCCAAGAAAUUUUGAGUUUUACACAGAAAACUUCCCAAGAGGUACUCAAAGAAGGAAGAAAGUCAGCUGCUGGUUUCCUUACUUCUGACAUUAAAAACCACUCAGGGAACUUGACACCUCUGGCUGCUUCACCUUUAUUUUUUGUUUAAACAUCUUGAGAAUUAAAUUCUUUGUUAGAAUGCAGAAGAAAGUCUCCUUUCCCAUUCCCUCUAGAGAUAAGACCCAAUAAAAGAUUUUGGUGAAGUUCUUCUUAUUUUUCCCAUGCACAAGUGCACAGGUGCAAACGCACAUGUACCAAUGCACACUUUGUCUUGUCUUUCUUGUCCCUGUCUUUGUUCCUGAACUCAAGGACGGCUCCUGCGGCAACAGAAGACUGUUCCCACCUGCUGUCACUCUGAUUUGAUUAUAUGUUAAACCCAAACUGGUGUGUGUGAGGCAGCUUCCCGGGACGCUGUCAUAUCUUCCCAGCUGAGCCCCAGCCAGACCCUGGAAAGGAGACUUUCCACCCUGGUGAAGGGUCUGAUGGGGAAUAUAUAAAGGAGGUGGUGCCUGGGGGCUUUUUCCUAAGUCAGCAGGAAGCAGGCUGAUGUCCCAGACUGCUGAAAGGAGGCCCCAUCUUUCAGGUGGGCUGGAAAGUAGACGUCCUAAAGGCCUCUUUCCCCAAAGCUCCAAGCCCUGGCCCACUUCCAAUGUGGAUAAUUACAUUCCCCUUCCCUAAAUACUCCCUGCAGCUUAAACUGGAUGCAGGAUUCUUCUUUUCUGCCCUAAAACACUGCAACAUUGCUAUGUGGCUAUUAAACAGCUGCCAUGUCCCAUCCCAGAGGAGGCCAAAGGGAAUCGAGUGGGUCAUUUAUAAAGCCAGUGAAGUGCUUGGGGAUGAAAGUGCUCAAUAUCCUCCAAAUGCAGCCUCGGGUGGUUAGGCUGGCGGUCAAAUACCAAAGCAGAUUAAGUCGGUAAUCCGAAUGUAAUCGCUGGGGGAUGGCCUGCCCUUCAGCCUCAGCCCCCUUGGACAUGCUGUGUUCUUCUCAGGCUGGUUUGAUGUUCCGAUCAUUGUUAUGGGGCCUUCAGGUUUUUCCUCUAUGAAUACAUGCAGCAAUCAUUGUGGGGGGUGGGAAUGAAUAGCACUGAGAGGGUAGGAAAAAAAAUAGGACACUAACAUGCUUAUUAACACCAACUGGAGGAACUCUGUCUCAGACUGACGCACACCUAUUGGCAAUUCUUCGUCUGUAAAUUACUUUGAGUUUUUCUAACAGAAAACCGGUUUGGCUAAUUUUCAAAUUUGUAUACUUAGCUAGAAAAAUGGAAACUAUUCCUAUUUAUUGCCACAAAAACCAUGUCCCUAUUUUGCUUCAUAGAAUGCACAAGCAAAAGCCAGCUCAAGCCCUGGGAUUAUUUAUACUUAAAAAUUAAUAAUGAAUAGUAUUUUGCCAGGGCAGCUGGGGUGGUGGGCAGGAAGAAAAGAAAGAAAAAGAUCUGCUGUUCUAGAGCUGGGCCCAGUGGCUCAAGUGAGAUCUUCCUGCCUGCCCAUCAGUCCACACUCAGGCCUUUCUGGGCAAAGAAAAACACAGUAAGAAGAAAAGAAAGUUGGAUUUAAGUAUUCUCAACUCUCAGCACUAUGUUGUUGAGGACUAAAGCAUGGACUCUUAAUUGGACAGAACUAGGCUUAAAUCCUGGCUUAGAAACUAGCUACAUAAUUCUCAACAAGGUGCUUAACCUCUUUGAGCUUCCAUUUUUUCCAAAUGUAAAAUGGAGACAAGAGUAUCUACCUCAUAGGGCUUUAAUGAGGAGGAGUAAAUGAGGUAAUUCACAUGGAGCACUUAGCAUGGUGCCCAGUAAGAGUCAUGAUAUUAAUAUCAUUAUUAGGUCAACUUUAGCCAAACAGUGUUCUCCUGUGAACAGUCUUCUCCUCCAUUUCCGCUUUUAAGAAAGAAGAGUUUGGAAGCCACGGUCUGUUCCCCACCUGCCACCAGGAGAAGUGACAGGUUAAUGUGGGAUAUCGGGGUACAUGGUGCUACAAAUGAAGAAACCUGGACUUGUUUUUAAUUUCAGUUUCACGCCCAAGCACAACAAAGAUAUCGGGUUUUAUUUGUUUGUUUUUACAGCCGCAGCAGCUAUAGCUGUUUUAUUUGCUCUGUGUGGAGGAGUAGAGAAGUGGCACGGGGGGCUGGGAGUGAGGAGCUGCGGCUAGUCUCUGGCCUGGUUAUGGUGGUGGCUAGUCCACGUGACCUCUGCUUUCAUAAGUUCUCCCCUGUUAGGCAUUCCAAGGCUGUCAUCCCCUGGGAGCACUAUAAAUUACAAUGCAUUGUGAGGAUAUUACUACUGUAUUGGUUUCCACCGAAUCAGUGUCAUAUGCUAAACACAUCAAGAUUUUUAAUAGCACCAGACUAAACCAAUUGGGACUGGAGCCCAAGCAGCUCAUAAUAAGGAGGGAUCAACACUUCACUGUGUGACUGAACAUGCGCAGGACAAACAUUUUAAGACUGGAGACUGAGGGAAUGCAAGCCAGUGUAAUCCACGUUGUCGGUUCUAGACAUUUAUGAGCUGUCAGAAAAAGGGAAAAAGAAAUUCCCUCACCAAUACUACCUGUCGAUCAGGCCCAGGAAGAAAUUAAAGCCAAGAAUAAUGACAGGAAAAUAAACCAGCCCGUGAUUCCAUCAUUGGUCUUAGCAUUUCAGAUGGAACUUAAUAAAGAGACCAACUCCCACUGCUGACAGCCUUGGGCCCUGGGUCAAAGAGCCAGCCACCUAGCUCUGGGAAGCUGGUUAAUGCUGAUGUGCACACCUGGGAACACAGUGGACAAAUCAAAUAAUUCCCAGAAAUCUGAGCUGGAGCCACUACCCAUGAGCCUGUUCUUAGAGGAAAGGCGCUGCAGGAAUGAAAGUGACCACACUGCUUUUCUGGCGGUGACGACCUACCCACACGAGAACAUGCCUCUCGCAAAGGAUCUCCUUCAUCCCUCCCCAGAAGAGGAGAAGAACACAACACAAGAAGAAACACCUGGUGCAGAGCCCCAAUUCCUACUUCAUGGAUGUGAAAUGCCCAGGAUGCUAUAAAAUCAACACGGUCUUCAGCCAUGCACAAACGGUAGUUUUGUGUGUUGGCUGCUCCACUGUCCUCUGCCAGCCUAUAGGAGGAAAAGCAAGGCUUACAGAAGGAUGUUCCUUUAGGAGGAAGCAGCACUAAAAGCACUCUGAAUCAAGAUGAGUGGGAAACUAUCUCAAUAAACACAUUUUGGAUAUUAAAAAAAAAAAAAAAAAAAAAAGAAAGUGACCACGCUGCAAAAUCACUGUUUUGACCCUCUUGGACUGAGAUGUUCUUCAAGAUGAGGAUGGUAUUUUACAAUGUUGCCUUUGAGGCAAGCUCAGAAGCUCUGCCUCUGAUACUCGCCUGCUCCCGGUGUGGCUUCAGAAAACAAAACAAACAAACAAAUAAAAAAAUAAAAAAAAAAAAAGGAAAAACAAAUUG